GACGAACGCUGGCGGCGUGCUUAACACAUGCAAGUCGAACGGAAAGGCCCUGCUUUUGUGGGGUGCUCGAGUGGCGAACGGGUGAGUAACACGUGAGUAACCUGCCCUUGACUUUGGGAUAACUUCAGGAAACUGGGGCUAAUACCGGAUAGGAGCUCCUGCUGCAUGGUGGGGGGUGGAAAGUUUCGGCGGUUGGGGAUGGACUCGCGGCUGAUCAGCUUGUUGGUGGGGUAGUGGCCUACCAAGGCUUUGACGGGUAGCCGGCCUGAGAGGGUGACCGGCCACAUUGGGACUGAGAUACGGCCCAGACUCCUACGGGAGGCAGCAGUGGGGAAUAUUGCACAAUGGGCGGAAGCCUGAUGCAGCAACGCCGCGUGCGGGAUGACGGCCUUCGGGUUGUAAACCGCUUUCGCCUGUGACGAAGCGUGAGUGACGGUAAUGGGUAAAGAAGCACCGGCUAACUACGUG
Molecule: ribosomal RNA, 468 nt
Filed under: uncultured bacterium
Lineage: Bacteria
Description: partial 16S ribosomal RNA
Rfam family: Bacterial small subunit ribosomal RNA
Source: RNAcentral